CCCUUAGAUGUUCUGGGCCGCACGCGCGCUACACUGACGGAGGCAGCGAGCAUGUCCUUCGCCGAGAGGUGUGGGGAAUCUUGUGAGUCUCCGUCGUGCUGGGGAUAGAUGGUUGCAAUUGUCGAUCUUGAACGAGGAAUUCCUAGUAAGCGCGAGUCAUCAGCUCGCGCUGAUUACGUCCCUGCCCUUUGUACACACCGCCCGUCGCUACUACCGAUUGGGUGAUCCGGUGAAUAAUUCGGACUGCGGCAUUGACCGGUUCCCGAUCGUUGCUGCGGAAAGUUUAGUGAACCUUAUCACUUAGAGGAAGGAGAAGUCGUAACA
Molecule: ribosomal RNA, 324 nt
Filed under: uncultured eukaryote
Lineage: Eukaryota
Description: partial 18S ribosomal RNA
Rfam family: Eukaryotic small subunit ribosomal RNA
Source: RNAcentral